GAUGAAGAACGUAGCGAAAUGCGAUAAGUAGUGUGAAUUGCAGAAUUCAGUGAAUCAUCGAAUCUUUGAACGCACAUUGCGCCCCUUGGUAUUCCAUGGGGCAUGCCUGUUCGAGCGUCAUUUGUACCUUCAAGCUUUGCUUGGUGUUGGGUGUUUGUCCCUCGGGACUCGCCUUAAAGUCAUUGGCAGCCAGUGUUUUGGUCUUGAAGCGCAGCACAAGUCGCGAUUCAAGGCUAUCCGCCCGCUUCCACAAGCCUUUUUCACUUUUGACCUCGGAUCAGGUAGGGAUACCCGCUGAACUUAAGCAUAUCAAUAAGCGGAGGA
This 324-nucleotide unclassified non-coding RNA is filed under the name soil metagenome. Its description in RNAcentral is "partial contains 5.8S ribosomal RNA, internal transcribed spacer 2, and large subunit ribosomal RNA". The stretch from base 1 to 120 matches the Rfam family "5.8S ribosomal RNA", at positions 35 to 154 of the family's 154-position model. The record is from RNAcentral.